UACGGAGGGUCUGAGCGUGAGUCGGAAUUACUGGGCGUAAAGCGCGCGUAGGCGGCGUGAUAAGCCGGCUGUGAAAGCCCCGGGCUCAACCUGGGAACGGCAUCCGGAACUGUCAGGCCAGAGUGCAGGAGAGGAAGGUAGAAUUCCCGGUGUAGCGGUGAAAUGCGUAGAGAUCGGGAGGAAUACCAGUGGCGAAGGCGGCCUUCUGGACUGACACUGACGCUGAGGUGCGAAAGCGUGGGUAGCAAACAGG
This 253-nucleotide unclassified non-coding RNA is filed under the name uncultured Halomonadaceae bacterium. RNAcentral's name for it is "contains 16S-23S intergenic spacer region". It matches the Rfam family "Bacterial small subunit ribosomal RNA", at positions 524 to 776 of the family's 1533-position model. The record is from RNAcentral. Lineage: Bacteria; Pseudomonadati; Pseudomonadota; Gammaproteobacteria; Oceanospirillales; Halomonadaceae.